GUCACGUGCGCAAACCCAGUUCAUUCAUUUUCCGAGCCAAAUGGCUGAUUUUCCUGCCGUGCAUCAUUUUCCAUGGCUGUGCCAGUUCUGCUCCUCUACAGGAGACGGACAGAAACUGCCGGUGCUUUCUUCCUUGUGACGGAUCACCUGAGCUCGAGAAACAUGACAGCGUCCGAGUUCUUGUGCAACAUCUUUCAGAUGAUCUUGAACUAAUACAUAAGGUGUCCAGUUUGUAUGAUGGAGGGCGCUGUUCAGUGCCAGGCUGUUUCCAGAGGAGCAUGCAUUACAGACUGCAAAUGUACGCUAAUGACAAAGACCCAGUGCCUAAAAUACUGCUCAAUAAAACAGAUUUACAGCCUGAAUGUGAUCCAGAGGCAAUAUCAGACAAAAAAACAAACAGUGCUGACGGGAAACUCUGUAACAAGUUCCUGAUCCCACUGGCCUUUUGCUUCUGGAUCGUCUUCCUCCUCGAGGGACCAAGAUAAUGGCACACAUACACAGCAGCUACUCCAGGGCCAAAGAAAUGCUGUUCCUCAUGCACUACCACAUCACAACACCUAAAACUAUCAUCUCAGGCUUUACAUUCCAGGACUAUGGGCUUUCUCAGACCAUGAGGACUUCAUGAUCAAAAACGCACUAAAUGGACCAUUGUUUUUGUUAGGCCAGGCUGCUUUAAAAUGCAUGCUUUUAUAGAUUUCCUAUUUUUAUCUCUUGCUCUAAAUUCUCUUAUUUUAUAUGUGCUUUUCUUAUCUUAUGCUACACGUACAGCAUCACAAAACUGGAAACAUGCAUUUCGGUCCACAAAACAACAUUAAAGAAAAAAACAAUUGACUUUCUCCAGGAGGUCUAUAUGACCAGUUGUGCCUCAAAUAGACAGUUAUUCUUCCUCCCUGUGUAGUCAAUUUGACUUCUACCCACAGUUUAUUUAUUUUAUUUUAUUUUUUAUUUCACAGUGUAUAUAGUAUUUAACAGAUUAUUUGUCCCAUCCAUGUUAAAAUUUUUUAUUAAUGCAAAAUAAUGUAUUUAUAAUAAAUAUAUAUUUUAAUGUCUUCACAAA
Long non-coding RNA from Cyprinus carpio carpio, 1057 nucleotides. The record is from Ensembl. Lineage: Eukaryota; Metazoa; Chordata; Actinopteri; Cypriniformes; Cyprinidae.